GACGAACGCUGGCGGCGUGCCUAAUACAUGCAAGUCGAACGCUGAAGAGAGGAGCUUGCUCUUCUUGGGUGAGUUGCGCACGGGUGAGUAACGCGUAGGUCACCUGCCUUGUAGCGGGGGAAAACUAUUGGACACGAUAGAUAAUACCGCAUAACAACGGAUGACACAUGUCAUUUAUUUGAGUUGGGCAAUUGCUCCACUACAAGAUGGACCUUCGUUGUAUUAGCUAGUAGGUGAGGUAAUGGCUCACCUAGGCGACGCUACAUAGCCGACCUGAGAGGGUGGGCGGCCAGCCUGGGACGGAGACACGGCACAGACGGCUACGGGAGGCAGCAGUAGGGAUACGUCGGCAAUGGGUGGGAAACUGACCGAGAAGCGCCGAGGGAGGGAGGAAGGAUGUCGGGUCGUAAAGCUCGGUUGUAAGUUAAGAACGGGUGUGAGACUGGAAAGUUGAGAGUGUGACGGUAGCUGAUCAAAAAGCAACGGCUAACUACGUG
RNAcentral lists this ribosomal RNA (497 nucleotides) under uncultured bacterium. RNAcentral's name for it is "partial 16S ribosomal RNA". It matches the Rfam family "Bacterial small subunit ribosomal RNA", at positions 28 to 507 of the family's 1533-position model. The record is from RNAcentral.